GACGAACGCUGGCGGCGUGCUUAACACAUGCAAGUCGAACGGUAAGGCCCUUCGGGGUACACGAGUGGCGAACGGGUGAGUAACGCGUGAGUAACCUGCCCUUCACUCUGGGAUAACAGUUGGAAACGGCUGCUAAUACCGGAUAUUCAGCUCCUGUCGCAUGGUGGGGGUUGGAAAGUUUUGGUGGUGGAGGAUGGGCUCGCGUCCUAUCAGCUUGUUGGUGGGGUGAUGGCCUACCAAGGCGUCGACGGGUAGCCGGCCUGAGAGGGCGACCGGCCACAUUGGGACUGAGAUACGGCCCGACCUCCUACGGGAGGCAGCAGUGGGGAAUAUUGCACAAUGGGCGGAAGCCUGAUGCAGCAACGCCGCGUGCGGGAUGACUGCCUUCGGGUUGUAAACCGCUUGCAGCAGGGACGAAGCGCAAGUGACGGUACCUGCAGAAGAAGCACCGGCUAACUACGUG
RNAcentral lists this ribosomal RNA (463 nucleotides) under uncultured bacterium. RNAcentral describes it as "partial 16S ribosomal RNA". It matches the Rfam family "Bacterial small subunit ribosomal RNA", at positions 28 to 507 of the family's 1533-position model. The record is from RNAcentral.